GAGAAAUCCAACCACCACUGAAACAUCAGAGAUGUACUACACAAUAGUCACAUAUGUGCCCACCAGCAUAUUGCAUCUUGCCAGAAAAGGUAUCAAUUCCAUUUCAGAAAAGAUAUUGAUAUACAGUUACAAAAAUCUGGUUGUCCCAAAGGUUCUAGACAGGCAUGAAAGAGAAUAGAAACGAUACGCACUCAGACACAAAUGAUACGGCACCAUGGAUAGCACAAGCUUUGAUCUGACAUCCAUCGUCUCUCAAACCCACCACCAGCAGCAGCGGCAACAAGGAUGCAAGUAGAAGACUUGUUGCGUCAGCAGCAGCAGCAGCAGCAGCAGCAGCAGCAAUGAAGGGGCUACACAAGGAGCAUCGGCAAACAUUAUGAUUCCCCAAAUAUAUUGUACAACCUGCGGAAGGAGGAAAUGAAAUGAAGUGUAUAAAUAUAUCGAAAAAUGAAUCACACAGGGGCUGUUAUGUCUGUCAGGGAUUGAUCUUAUGCCUUCAGAUCUAAUACAUUUUGGCCUUCCUAAAUGGUUCAAGAGAUGAUCAUCAUGGGUUAUGAAAAAUCAACACAAAAAAGCAGUCAUGAAAUCUGCUAGCACAUAAAAUGGAGUCAAAGGGACGUAUCAGCUAGGGCAGAGGCAGCGAUAACAGUACACGUGAGCAAAGCAAAUGGGAGCAGAGAAGCAGGGCCAUGCAGCAUAUCCUCCCGUAGGGAGGUUCCAGUCCGAUAAUAUAACAUAAUAAAAGACAAUGUGCAGAAAAGCUGUCUGUUUUAAAGUAUGACCAUGCAAGAGAGUUCGAAUAAUUCCGAGAAUUCUGAAUCACAACAUGGCCCUCAGAUUUCAGUUUCAUCAUAGGCUAAUGCAAUGGGCUUCAAAGCUUGGCACUGGGGCAUGUCUGGGUGAAAUGAAGAGGAGGCAUGGCGAUGGCGGCGACGAGGAGGAGAGGUAGACCUGCAGCAAGAGCCGGCCCAUCACUCAGUGGUAGGGCUUCCGCAGAAGCAACGGCUGAUCCAGACACAUGCCCCAGCGCCCAGAACAGAGAAGCAAGCGCUGCAUUAGCCAUUUCGUGGGCUUCAACCUUGCGAAUGCAAUGGCUGACCCCGUUUCGAGCUCAAAUCUGAGCCAAUCUAUCUAUCCAUCCCCACAUGGGGCUUUAAACAUCAUCAUUGGGCCAAGGGGAAAUCCAUGCAACAAGCGAAAAUAUAGUAAUGGACCAAACAAACUACGAAACUAAAUCCAUACAGAGCUCGAUCAAAACAAAUAAUCAAACCACCAGAAAACUGGAUAAUCGAAAAGGAAAAUAGCCAUAGGAGACUUGUUGUGCCACCAGCAGCAGCAGGAGGAAUGAAGGGGCCACAGGAGGGACCAUCGCAUUAGCAUUCAUUCAAGAGCAGCAAACAGAAAGAUUAUGAUCCCAUACUGUACGGCCCGAGGAAAGAGGAAAUGAAAUGAAUAUACCGAAAAAUGAACCACGCAAGGGUUGUGGCAUCUGUCAGGUAGUAAUCUUAUGCCUUCAGAUCUAGUAAUACAUUUGGCCUUGCAAAAUGGUUCAAGAGAUGGUCAUCACGGGUUAUCAAAAAUCAACAACAAAAGUUGUCAAGAAAUCUGCUAGCCCACAAAAGAGAGUCAAAGGGAUGCAUCAGGUAGGGCAGAGGCAGCGCUAACAGAGAUGGGGAAGGGAUGUUUUAGUGACGUCAUGUCGUCAAUCAAUCAUCAAGGCAAACAGAAGCAGAGCAGGCACGCACCGAUGCACCAUCUCCUCCUCUACCUAGGUAGGUUCCAGUCCACCAUUGCGCGUUAAACGAUAAUACAACACAACAAAGACACGGUGUGUAUACUGAUGGUUUCGUAGCACGCCCAUCAGGAAGAUGGCCCUCAGAUAUCAAGAGUGUCCCAAAUGGAUCGGUAGAAAACCUGAAUAGUACGACCAUUGCAAUGACAAACACAACAGAAGCG
RNAcentral lists this long non-coding RNA (1956 nucleotides) under Triticum aestivum (bread wheat). RNAcentral describes it as "long non-coding RNA (TAES_LNC024083)". The record is from RNAcentral. Lineage: Eukaryota; Viridiplantae; Streptophyta; Magnoliopsida; Poales; Poaceae.